CACGUAGGCGGUCUUUUUAAGUCGGGGGUGAAAUCCUGGAGCUCAACUCCAGAACUGCCUUCGAUACUGAGAAGCUCGAGUCCGGGAGGGGUGAGUGGAACUGCGAGUGUAGAGGUGAAAUUCGUAGAUAUUCGCAAGAACACCAGUGGCGAAGGCGGCUCACUGGCCCGGUACUGACGCUGAGGUGCGAAAGCGUGGGGAAGCAAACAG
Molecule: ribosomal RNA, 210 nt
Filed under: uncultured bacterium
Lineage: Bacteria
Description: partial 16S ribosomal RNA
Rfam family: Bacterial small subunit ribosomal RNA
Source: RNAcentral